Long non-coding RNA from Hemicordylus capensis (graceful crag lizard), 6134 nucleotides. RefSeq lists it as uncharacterized. NCBI's taxonomy places the organism in Eukaryota, Metazoa, Chordata, Lepidosauria, Squamata, Cordylidae. The record is from RefSeq and is a predicted model, not a curated record. The transcript is spliced from 5 exons.
UCCCAAGGCACCUCAGCCACUUGCCCUGUACACCCUCUCUCCUGCUUGUCCUCCUGGCCUGUAAUCUCUCUCCCCGCCCCUCAGCUGAUCGGCGGGUGGGCAGGGCUUCCAGAGAGGCCUCCAUGUAGGCCUCGCUGAAGCCUGAACUCAAGUAGGUCGGCAGGCCCCAAGGAGGCAGGCAGAGUGGCCACCACAGUUCUCUGCAGCAGACCCUCUGCCCAGGUCAGCCAGACCAGCCUUUGCCAGAUGAGGAACACUUCAAAAAGAAGUGGGAGCUUCCUCCCGAUAUGGCUGCUCUGCUGGCGGUCGGAAAGAGUCUGAGGAGCAACAGUUUCCAACCACCUCUAAUGACAACUGCGACACGUACCGAGGUUGUAAUGCCACUGGGUUGUAAUGCCACUUGAAGCUAUCAACCAUUUUAAUGGAAGGCUGCUGCACAGACUCAUAAGUGUGGAUUCAGUGAAGAUCAUGAAGAAGAUCAUGAGUUAUAUGAAGAGCAUACCACAAAAGUAAUUAGAAACACCUGGAACGUGGCAACAGUUCAAACGCUUAACUAAAAUGCCCAGAUACCUAGAUUUGGCAACAAGGGAGAGACUUUUCAGUUGACUACGAAAGCAUGGAGCGAGAUCUCUGGAGCCUGGAUGAAGGAGGUGAGCCAAAGCCUCCCUUGCCCCAGCCAAGGGGGACAGUGGCUGGCCGGCAGCGGCUGGGAGUUUCUGUCUGGGACACUGCCUGCAAAAAUUGCCCAAGCAGGAAGGCAGACUGAGAGAGAUGCGUGGAGCAUCAACCCCAAGGAAGCUGAGAAUGCCGAGCAGAGAGUGGGAAGAAAUCCCUAGCGGUUGCCUGCCCUCAGGCUAUGGGAGGAUUUGUUUAAAUACCUACGUAUUAACCAUCUGCAUGCUGCUCCCUCUAAAAUGCCUCACGAACCAGUUGGCAGUAUCAAAUGAUACUCUAAAAAGCACCGGAGUGACUACUUAAGAUGUUACAUGUUAAUUAAAGUCUCAUCAAGUUUAGAAUGAACAACCUCUGGAUACUAAGGAGCCACUCUCUUCUCCAGGCUCAACAGAACUACGCUGCUGACAUGAAGCCAGGAAAAAAAAAAGAUGCCUCACAGACAAAACUGUUGACCCUUUAUGGGGAUAUUGCAUGUAUUAGAUGCCAGAUGUUUUUUUGGCCCCAGGCUCCCUUCAUGCAAAAGGCUUUGAACCAGGUUCCUAAUGUCCAGUGGUUAUUUCUAAAAAAGCAGUUCAGAUUAUAGUCCUGAAACCACUGAAGGCUAUAUUGCAAAUCUUAACAUGCCCACUUCCUGCUGGCUGUACCAAGAAUUUCCGGUGCAUUUGCAAAGCAAGUCUGGUUACAUUGGUUUCUCAUUCUUUCCCCACUCUGUCAAGACACCAAAUUGGAUGCCACUUUGAGUGCACCUGUAAAUCUCAGUAGUGGCUCUUGUAAUGCAAGCUAGUUGAGGAGGGAGGAAAGACAGACACUAGAUAAGGGGCCAGUAAGAAAUCCAAUAGACCCCAGGCCAAGGAUGAGACCUAAUAGGUGAGCAGCCGUAAUGCACUGGGACCUGGAUUCUAGGGCUCACCAAGCAUUACAUAUUAAUCUAUGGAGCUAAUCACAUGACCGGCUGAGCAAGAGAGUCGGCUGGCAGGGGAAAGGCUGUGCCGUCCUUACCUUCCCCCCAGACGAGCGAAUGUUCCCUGCUGGGAGCGCUGACUGUGCUCCCACACGACCCAGUCUUCGGAGGCCGGGAUGAUACUAUGCGGUGCAUUGGGGGAUUCCCACAGGAAUUGGGCAUUGUAGGCACUCAUCUGUGUCUUCUCAGGCACGUAGCUCAUAGAACAUAGCUCGAGGAGACACACAAUCCCGGAGGCUGGGUUAAUGGGCCAUUGGCACCAUUAACCCAGGCUAAAAAGCUGGGCUAGGUAGUGUUGACCCUAGCCUGAGGCUUCCCUAGCCUGGGUUAGGUUGUGCAUGAGAACAGCCAUGGGUUGACUGCAGCUUUCCUGUCAUCUUUAAAAGGACAAUUGCAUGUGAGAAGAUGCAGGAGAUACUCACAUGUAACUGACAGAAGCUCCCUGGAGUGUCUUUACUUCGUGCUGUGAGACAUACAAAUGUUUUUCAAGCUCUUCAGAAAACGUGGUUGUUUCAUAGAAAUGCAGGGGCCUAUCUUUGCUGUAAUGAGUGACACAUCCCUGAAAAGGGAAGAUAAGACAAACUUGGAACCCCCAGAAUGCUGCCAUUUUGCAACCUUGGCACUAGACAUGGGCCAUGAAAUGCCCUGGCAGAGCAGGAGAAAAGGAAGCUGCAGACACUGUCCAGGUUUUCUUCCCUGGUUGCGCCAGUCAUCCUUUUUUCUCACCUGCUGUGCAAGUACAUCAAGACUUCUGGUUGCCAGAGUGUAUGAGGGAUGGAGACAGACCAUAGAUCCAGGGGAACAGGCAGGACAAGCAUUUGUGCACAUUUUUAAGUCUACUUUCUAGUAGGCUUAUGAGAUCACUCGGCUGUGUGUGUGUGUGUGUGUGUGUUGUGUCCAUCCAUGUGUGUGUGUCCCCCACCCCCACCAUCAACUUUGCAACACCUGGACCAAUAUGAACUAAAUUGGGUACAGUUGUAGGGACACAUAGGGACACUUCAACAGCGUAGUUUGUGAUAAUGUCAUCCCCCUGAUCCAAGAUGGCAGAUGCGUGAACUCUUGAGGUGCAAAUGGGCUAGCUUGUGAACCGCCUAACUGAUUUGAACCAAAUUUGCUACAGCUGUAGGAACAUAGGAAGCUGCCAUAUACUGAGUCAGACCAUUGUUCUAUCUAGCUCAGUAUUGUCUUCACAGACUGGCAGUGGCUUCUCCAAGCUUGCAGGCAGAAAUCUUUCUCAGUCCUAUCUUGGAGAAGCCAGGGAGGGAACUUGGAAUCUUCUGCUCUUCCCAGAGUGGCUUCAUCCCCUGAGGGGAAUAUCUUACAGUGCUCACACAUCAAGUCUCCCAUUCAUAUGCAACCAGGGUAGACCCUGCUUAGCUAAGGGGACAAGUCAUGCUUGUUACAACAAGACCAGCUCUCUUCCUAAACCAGCUUUCCUCCUGGUGGUGUGUGGAGCGGUGUGUAAUGAUGUCAUCCACUCCCAUUCAAGGGGGCGGCCACGUGAACAUCUGAGGUGCAAGUGGGCUAAUUUGUGGACUCUCUAACCAAUUUAAACCAAAUUAGGUAUAGUUGCAGUGAGUGACACAAAGGGUCACCUCAACACUGUAAUUUGUGAUGAUGUCAUCCACCCCAAUUCAAGAUGGUGGAUGCAUAAACCUUUGAGGUGCCAAUGGGAACCGCUUAACUGAUUUGAACCAAAUGUGCUACAGCUGUAGGGACAGUGGGCUGCCCUAAUGGCAUGGUGUUUGAUGAUGUCAUCCAUUCCAAUUCAAAAUGGUGGUAGCAAGAACAUCUGAGGCGCAAGUGAGCUAAUUUGUGGACUGCCUAACCCUUUUUAACCAAAUUGGGUACAGUUGCAGUGCAUGACACACACGGGCACCUCAGUGGCAUAGUUUGUGAUGAUGAUAUCUACACCGAUUCAAGAUGGUGGACAUCUAAAUUUUUGAGGUACAAGUGGGCUAACUUGUAAACCUCUUAACCAAUUUGAACCAAAAUUGUUGCAGCUGUAGGGACACAUGAAGACACCUCAAUGGCAUAGUUUGUGAUGAUGUCAUCUACCCCAGUUCAAGAUGGCAGACACGUAAACCUUUGAGGCAAAAGUGGGCUGCCUUGUGAUUGGAACCAAAUUUGGUACAGCUGUAGGGACCAGAGGUGUAACAAGGAUGGGGCAGGCAGGGUACGUGCCCUGGGUGCCAUUGCAGGUGGCACAAAGUGCCGGCCAUGCCCUGGCCCCCACCCCAACUGCGGUCGGUGAAGAGCCCCCCCCCAGCGAUCACUUGCCGUUUAUUUCAGGCAACCUUCCACCUAGCUCAUUGGCCAACCCACCAUCAAUGCCAGUGUCGAGGCCGCCGGGAUCCCAUCCCUUCAUGCUCCAGCCCUCCUCCCUUUCACAAGCCCCUUGUGGGAAUACCCAACAGCACGGUCUUGCUAGGAGGACCUUUGACCAGUCCCGGCCAGCCCAUCAACCACAGCCACAGCCUUGGCAUCCCAGACCAACCCACCUACCCUUCUUCCUUGCCCACCAAGCCUACAUAGAGCAUCUGGUCCUUCCACCUGGUCCCCAGAGCACUACAGUCUCAGUAGACCAGGAAUUUAAUGGGGCCACGUUCAUCCCUUGGAGGAUGCCCCCGGCCGACCUGGAAGUCUCCUGGCCCAUUACUGAGGAGCAACAGCCAAUCCGGGAGCUGAUACAGCAUCUGGCUGUAAUCUGGCAGCAUCUCUAGAGUGAUGGAGGAGGAGGCUCAGUGGACAUCAGCCGGCUGAAAGCAAUCUUUCGUGGAGCGGGAGAAGGAAAUGAACACCUCCCUUCAGUAUGGCUACCCCUGGCAUCGCUGAGAGGUAAGUCUCGUCUCUUACUGGGUGUCCUCCUAAAUAGUAGUACAGAUCAAGACUCCCCUGUCACUGGAGAUGGCCUGGUGGGGAGAACUCUGGCAGGACCUGCUCCGCCCUUCCUCCUGCCACCCUGAGAGGGAAAGCUGGUAAUCUCCUUCACGGGUAAUGAUCAAAAGCCUGUGCUCUUUCACUAAUCGCUGACAGUGGGCAGGAAGAGACUCCUGGGCUUUUGGUGGUUGGACGGAUGGUGGGUUUGGGCCUGGGGUGCUCUUGCGGCAAAAAUAGCCAGCGUGGUGUGGUGGUUAGAGUGCUGGACCAGGACUGGGGAGACCCGAGUGCAAAUCCCCAUUCAGCCAUGAAACUAGCUGGGUGUCUCUGGGCCAGUCACUUCUCUCUCAGCCUCUCUCUCAGCCUAACCUACUUCACAGGGUUGUUGUAAAAGAGAAACUCAAGUAUGUAGUACACCGCUCUGGGCUCCUUGGAGGAAGAGUGGGAUAUAAAUGUAAAUAAAUACAUAAAUAGAUAAAUAAAUAAAAUAAUAUUUCUACCUGUGAGAUGGCAGAAGAGACCUUAUAUUGUGCGGGAUUCCUGUAGAUUGACAAGCUGCCUCCCAAAUCAUAGCUCUGUCAGAAGCAGCUGUUGAAAAGGGGGGUGGGGCAGUUAACCCCCUUUGUAAAAGGGGCCGUCCUUUCACUUCCUCCUUCGACUGACCCUUUAAGGGUCCAGCCUUCUUGGAUUCCAUUCUUUAUCGCAGCACCUUUUAAACGGCGAGAAGAAAAGCAGUGACCGUAAUCAAUUUUAUUAUAAGCUGUUUUCAUGAUCUCAGGGCUUCCAAAUUAACUUUCUUCAACUUCUUAUGUUUCUUUAGUCUAUUUUAUGUUAGCAAUGAAUGAAAAUAAUUCAGGUUACUCACAGUAUAUUACACUCCCCCCGCCCCCCCCCCACACACGUGCCAAAUAUGAUCACAACCUUAUAUAACUUCAUUUUUAAAAUUGGUAGAUCUUAGCAUUUUACUUGUUAUAUUCUGGUGUUCAUAACUUUUUAAAUGAUGUUGUUUUAAAAUUAGUACAGAUUGGUUUGAGGGUUCUGGUAUAGAGGUUAAGGCUAGAGUUCUGCAUCUUAGUCGAUAAUAAUAUUUCUUUCUUUUGUUUUUUCGCUUAGGUCUUUUUGCGAACAGCCAGACAAACAUCUCUUAUCUGGGAUUCUUGGAGAGCAUUUCACUCCCUAAUUUCUCCUUGGGGAGAACCCUGAAAUCCAGGGAUUUCUCCUUAGGCUAGUACUGAGAACCCAGAUUAAAGGAGAGCAUUUGCAGCAUUUUGCAAGGCCAGCAGCCCACGGUUCUUUGUCCUUCACAUUCCCAGGGAAUGAGCAGCCUCAAGUGAAAGUGGGUUCUGCCCUACUUCACCAGGUGGGGACUGCGGGGUUCCAAAAACCCUCAUGCCGGCCCCAUUUCCCACACUGGAAAACCAAACCACCAGCUGCUCAUGCUGCUGCCCCCUAGAAAGAGAAAGAGGAACCUGGCCUCUGGAUGGCGCUCACCUCUUCAGCCCAACAAUAUGUUUCGUUUGUUAGCACCACUUUGGGGUUUUUCUUGUUAAAUCCGUUGAGUUUGUUUUAUGUUGGAGACUUGUCUCCUUAGUGUUUGUGAAAUAAAUCAUUGAAUUAA